This 520-nucleotide ribosomal RNA is filed under the name Gennadas parvus. RNAcentral's name for it is "partial large subunit ribosomal RNA". It matches the Rfam family "Bacterial large subunit ribosomal RNA", at positions 1829 to 2597 of the family's 2925-position model. The record is from RNAcentral. Lineage: Eukaryota; Metazoa; Arthropoda; Malacostraca; Decapoda; Benthesicymidae.
GUCUGUAUGGUCGCUAUAUAGAGUCUAGCCUGCCCACUGAUAUAAAUUGAAGGGCCGCGGUAUUUUGACCGUGCGAAGGUAGCAUAAUCAUUAGUCUUUUAAUUGGAGGCUUGUAUGAAUGGUUGGACAAAAAGUAAGCUGUCUUUACUAUAAAACUUGAAUUUAACUUUUAAGUGAAAAGGCUUAAAUAAUCUAAGGGGACGAUAAGACCCUAUAAAGCUUUAUAACAAAAUAAAAUGUAUUGUCAUUUGUCUAAAGUGUAACUCAAUUCAUGUGAGAGUUAUUUCGUUGGGGCGACGAGGAUAUAAUUAAAUAACUGUUCUUUAAUAAAAAUACACUAAUAGCUGUUUAAAAAUUGAUCCUUUAUUAAAGAUUAAAAGAUUAAGUUACUUUAGGGAUAACAGCGUAAUCUUCUUUAAGAGUCCAUAUCGACAAGAAGGGUUGCGACCUCGAUGUUGAAUUAAGGAGUCCUUGUGGUGCAGCAGUUACAAAGGAAGGUCUGUUCGACCUUUAAACCCUU